This 477-nucleotide ribosomal RNA is filed under the name uncultured bacterium. Its description in RNAcentral is "partial 16S ribosomal RNA". It matches the Rfam family "Bacterial small subunit ribosomal RNA", at positions 28 to 507 of the family's 1533-position model. The record is from RNAcentral.
GAUGAACGCUGGCGGCGUGCCUAAUACAUGCAAGUCGAACGGACAGACGAUAAUCUUGCUUCUCGGAUGUUAGCGGCGCACGGGUGAGUAACACGUGUAUAACCUACCUAUCAUACUGGGAUAACUUCGGGACACCGGAUCUAAUACCAUAUGAUAUUUUGAACCGCAUUGUUCAAAGGUGAGAUACGGUCUUGUUGGCGGUUAUAGAUGGAUCCGCGCUUCAUCAGCUAGUUGGUGGGGUAGCGGCUUACCAAGGCAAUGAUGGAUAGCCGGCCUGAGAGGGUGACCGGCCACAUUGGGACUGAGAUAGGGCCCAGACUCCUACGGGAGGCAGCAGUGGGGAAUAUUGCACAAUGGGCGGAAGCCUGAUGCAGCAACGCCGCGUGCGGGAUGACGGCCUUCGGGGUGUAAACCGCUUUCGCCUGUGACGAAGCGUGAGUGACGGUAAUGGGUAAAGAAGCACCGGCUAACUACGUG